RNAcentral lists this transfer RNA (74 nucleotides) under Camelus bactrianus (Bactrian camel). It matches the Rfam family "tRNA". Rfam says of the family: Transfer RNA (tRNA) molecules are approximately 80 nucleotides in length. Their secondary structure includes four short double-helical elements and three loops (D, anti-codon, and T loops). RNAcentral also lists the same sequence under 3 other names. The record is from Rfam by way of RNAcentral. Lineage: Eukaryota; Metazoa; Chordata; Mammalia; Artiodactyla; Camelidae.
GAGGGUAUAGUUCAAAGUGGUAGAGCACAUGUUUAGCAUGCCUGAGGUCCUGGGUUCAAUCCCCAGUACCUGUU